RNAcentral lists this ribosomal RNA (251 nucleotides) under uncultured prokaryote. RNAcentral describes it as "partial 16S rRNA". It matches the Rfam family "Bacterial small subunit ribosomal RNA", at positions 525 to 775 of the family's 1533-position model. The record is from RNAcentral.
ACGUAGGGGGCGAGCGUUAUUCGGAAUUAAUGGGUGUAAAGGGUAUGUAGGCGGCCCUUCAAGUCGCGUGUCAAAGUCCAGUGCUCAACGCUGGGUGUGCACGCGAUACUGACGGGCUUGAGGGCUGGAGAGGUGAGCGGAAUUCCCGGUGUAGUGGUAAAAUACGUAGAGAUCGGGAGGAACACCAGCGUCGUAGGCGGCCCACUAGACAGUUUCUGACUCUAAGAUAUGAGAGCGUGGGGAGCAAACAG